RNAcentral lists this ribosomal RNA (437 nucleotides) under uncultured bacterium. RNAcentral describes it as "bacterial SSU rRNA". It matches the Rfam family "Bacterial small subunit ribosomal RNA", at positions 355 to 796 of the family's 1533-position model. The record is from RNAcentral.
UCGAGGAUCUUCGGCAAUGAGCGCAAGCUUGACCGAGCGACGCCGCGUGUGGGACGAAGGCCUUCGGGUUGUAAACCACUGUCGAGGGGGAGGAAGCUGGCGUAAGCCAGUUGACCUAUCCCUGGAGGAAGCACGGGCUAAGUUCGUGCCAGCAGCCGCGGUAAGACGAACCGUGCGAACGUUGUUCGGAUUCACUGGGCUUAAAGGGCGCGUAGGCGGAUUCGUAAGUUCGGGGUGAAAUCCUUCGGCUCAACCGGAGAAGUGCCUCGGAUACUGCGAGUCUCGAGGGAGGUAGGGGCCGCGGGAACUUCCGGUGGAGCGGUGAAAUGCGUUGAUAUCGGAAGGAACGCCGGUGGCGAAAGCGCGCGGCUGGUCCUCUUCUGACGCUGAGGCGCGAAAGCUAGGGGAGCAAACGGGAUUAGAUACCCCCGUAGUCC